RNAcentral lists this ribosomal RNA (460 nucleotides) under uncultured bacterium. RNAcentral describes it as "bacterial SSU rRNA". It matches the Rfam family "Bacterial small subunit ribosomal RNA", at positions 338 to 795 of the family's 1533-position model. The record is from RNAcentral.
CCUACGGGCGGCAGCAGUGAGGAAUAUUGGUCAAUGGGCGAGAGCCUGAACCAGCCAAGUAGCGUGCAGGAUGACGGCCCUAUGGGUUGUAAACUGCUUUUAUGUGGGGAUAAAGUGAGCUACGUGUAGUUUAUUGCAGGUACCACAUGAAUAAGGACCGGCUAAUUCCGUGCCAGCAGCCGCGGUAAUACGGAAGGUCCAGGCGUUAUCCGGAUUUAUUGGGUUUAAAGGGAGCGUAGGCCGUGGAUUAAGCGUGUUGUGAAAUGUAGACGCUCAACGUCUGAAUUGCAGCGCGAACUGGUUCACUUGAGUAUGCACAACGUAGGCGGAAUUCGUCGUGUAGCGGUGAAAUGCUUAGAUAUGACGAAGAACUCCGAUUGCGAAGGCAGCUUACGGGAGCACAACUGACGCUGAAGCUCGAAGGUGCGGGUAUCAAACAGGAUUAGAUACCCGAGUAGUC